UGGGGAAUAUUGGACAAUGGGCGGAAGCCUGAUCCAGCAACGCCGCGUGAGGGAUGACGGCCUUCGGGUUGUAAACCUCUUUCAGUACCGACGAAGCGAAAGUGACGGUAGGUACAGAAGAAGGACCGGCCAACUACGUGCCAGCAGCCGCGGUAAUACGUAGGGUCCGAGCGUUGUCCGGAAUUAUUGGGCGUAAAGGGCUCGUAGGCGGUUUGUCGCGUCGGGAGUGAAAACAGCGGGCUUAACUCGUUGCUUGCUUUCGAUACGGGGCAGACUAGAGGGUAUGCAGGGGAGAAUGGAAUUCCUGGUGUAGCGGUGAAAUGCGCAGAUAUCAGGAGGAACACCGGUGGCGAAGGCGGUUCUCUGGGCAUUACCUGACGCUGAGGAGCGAAAGUGUGGGGAGCGAACAGGAUUAGAU
Molecule: ribosomal RNA, 418 nt
Filed under: uncultured bacterium
Lineage: Bacteria
Description: partial 16S ribosomal RNA
Rfam family: Bacterial small subunit ribosomal RNA
Source: RNAcentral